GUCGCUUAAUUCUGCUAAACACUUGAAUAAACCAGGUUUUGAGGGGGGGGGGGUUUGAACCUUUUUGGAUGGGGUUGAACCCUUAACCCCUCCCCUCUGGCUAUGGCCCUGUGUAUAUCAUAUACAUAAUGGUUUCAGGAUUCAGGGAGAAGUUGGAAAAAAAUCCUACUCUGUCACUUUUAACCUUCUCCUGCAUAUAUAUACUCUCGUAUAUAUAUUCUCCUAAAAUCCAUGAGGUUAUGAGGUAAGGUAGCAGAAAAAAUGCCACAGCAGGUACUAAGUGCUUGCCAAGGACUAAGGCUACAGAUUCACACAACAGUUUCAAACUUUGGGGAGUGGAGGAAAGACAGGAAAAACUGGUGCUGUCACUCAUUCCCUGCUAAGGACUGAGACUGUUGUGUUCAUAUCCACAAAAUAGUGUCUGGUUUUGAGAGGUAGUGGGAAGACAGGAAACAUCACAGCUGCCACUAGCUCCUUGCCUUAGGAGCCUCUGGUGGACAAGGGGAUAAAAGCCUCGUGACUUGAAGGUUGGGUUGCUGACCUGAAAGCUGCCAGGUUCGAAUCCCACCCGGGGAGAGGGUGGAUGAGCUCCCUCUAUCAGCUCCAGCUCCAUGUGGGGACAUGAGAGAAGCCUCCCACAAGGAUGGUAAAACAUCAAAACAUCUGGGCAUCCCCUGGGCAACGUCCUUGCAGACAGCCAAUUCUCUCACUCCAGAAGCAACUCCGGUUGCUCCUGACACACACACGCAAAAAGCUCCUUGCCAAGAACUAAUGCUGCUUUGUGCUCAUUUUACCUUGAACUUCAGGGUGGACAAGAAAAAGCUCCCAAUGCAAAAAAAAAAAAAAAGAAAAGAAAAGAAAAAGAAUGAAAGUUGGUGUAAAGGUGUCAUUAGAAGGACUCCAGUAUUUUUAAAGUGACUCCUUUAAGAUAGAACAAUGCAAGUCCCAAACUAUUUGUCUCUAAGCUCUUUUAAUUCACAGCUACUAUCAAUGAGUCCCAAUCUAACUUAAUAAGAAAACCUGUAGGUGAUCUGUUAGAUCUUUACACUCAUCGAAUUGAAAGCCAAGAAAAAAUGCUGCAUUUCUCCACCUAGAACACUACCCUUAUUUGAUAUUGUUAGAUGUUUUUUUAAAAAAAGAAUAACUGUUAGAAAUAUGGGUGAUUCUAUAUAAGAAUCAAGACAUAUCAUAUUCCAGUCACUCUACCAUAAGAGAAUGGUGGCAGUAAGAACUUGUGGCAGUAAGAAUCUGCAGCCUAAAAUGAUAAUGGGGUGUGUAGUGGGGAAGGUUUGCACUCUAAGGGAUUGACUACAGCAAUUGCUUUUCCUCACAAAUAAAAACAAACCAAGCUAAAAACCAUUGCAGAUUAUUUGUUUUAGAAUAACCAGCACACACAUCUCUCCUCUCUCUUUCUGUCUUUCUCUCUCUGUGUGUCACAAAUCAACAGAUCGGGGAAAGAGAGAGAGAGAGCGGGCACAGACCUCUUGUUUGAAUGAUUAUCUCUCAAACAUGUCAAUGACUAAUGAUAAACAUUUAGACAAAUUUAAUCCAAUUGUUGCCAGGACACCAACUCUGAGUAAGAUUAAUGUGUGACAGUUGUGACAUUUCCUUUGGGAUAUUUCUUAGCCAAUAAAUGCCUACCACAUGACUGAGAUAUAACUCACACAUCAUACCAAUAAAUAGAAGUCUGGUGUUUGUAGGCAUGGCUGUGACUUGAAGCCGAGACUAGGAAAAUAAUUAGUUUGGAGUUCUUUUAGGAGGACACCUGCCAAGAGAGUUGGCAUGGAGGAAUGGCCAGAGUUACCAUUCUAGAAAUCACACAUUGAAGGCUAUAAAAAGAAUCUGGCACAUUCAUGGAGGAUAUUAAGUCUGUCAAAAUUAUGAUGACUCCAUGCACUCUCUACAUUCAAAGGGAAUGUGUCACGGAAUGUAAAGCAAAAAGAGAUGAUUGUCUUCAUGUCCUGGUUGACCCUUGUAGAGAAGAAGGUGCAUGACUAGUGUUCCAAUCUGGCAACUCUUAUGUUCUCAGCCCCUUUGUUGGACUUCUCACAUAUGCACUUUCUCUAGGAGGUGGGCAGAAACAUCCAUCUCUUGCCAUAUACAGAGACAUUUUGUUCCAAUAGGAAAGUAGGAUGUUUAUGUUAGACAGAUCAUACCGGGUUUUUGUUUUUGUUUUUGUUUUUUUAUUCUUAGGCUGGAAUCAUAUUGGUCUCAAAUAGAGUAGCCCGUUGCAUGAGUUGUUGAAUGGUGAUUCAACAUGUAGAUAACUCCAACAAAUUCAGUGGGGUCUAUUCAAAUCAGGAAUACGAAUAGGCCUUACUCUUCUUCAUUCUACCUAAAGGAGAGAGGAUUCAUCUCCCAAUACCCUUUAUUUCCCUUUCCGUCAUUGCAUUUUUAUGUGCGUAACCUUACUUUUAAUUAAGAUAGUGAGAGCAGAUUGAUUCACUGAUAUGAGCUGUUGUGCAUUGAAAAGUGGAGGACAAGAAACUUUAAAGGUUUUCUUGAAUGAAUUGUUGUUUUUGAUUUAUCACUGAAGAGGGAAGGAACCAACAAGGAGUUCUAUGGUAUAUGAUAUUGUACAUCUUUCUGCAAUCACUGUUGCCUUAAUUAUGUAAUUAUUUUUUUUCCUAGACAUUGUGUACAUGAGGUGGAAUAUAUUUCUCUUUCCAUCUCUUGAUUAUUUCCUAUUUGAUAGGUUAAAAAGGCAAUGAUAUAUGUCAUGAAAUAUCCAUAUGAGACUGUUAGAUCCUUUUAAAGAAUCAGCAAUAUAGUAUGAAAAUGUUCAACCUUUUUCUAUAUUUAUUGGAUUUGCAUCCUACUUUUUUCCCAAAAACCACAGGGUAGAAUUCAAUCCUGGUCUUUCACUGGAAAAAUAGAUCACAGAUCAGUUGAUACAAAGGUAUUUUGUCACUAAUAAACCAAAUCACUUUAUAGUGCUUUAUCUCACCAAACCCCUUUUCCCCUUUAUGACAUAAAUUAUACUCCUGUUGAAGGCACACAGCAACAAAGAGAUAUGAAUUUCAGGGCAAUUUUUUAAAAAGGUAAGAUACCUUGGACAAUGAAUUCUGCAAAUUUUGUGUAAAUGUAAAUGUCCAGUAGAGGAUGCAAAAUUCAUAGAAGCCCCCAAGUUAUAUCUGCAUCUCCUAAUUUUCUGUGGAUAAAUUUUGAUGUUUCUGUUCAAAGUCCCAUGCCCUCUCUUCUCACAAUCAUACCUGUUCUAGAGAGUUGAAUGUGCAUGACAGCCCAAGUAACCAUGGUAAACUGCUACCAUGUAUUCCCACUAACUAGUAUAGUCCAUGUCAGUAUUAUAGGUUCUAGUAGUAAUAUAAAAGACACAAGAUUUUGGAGAUGUUAACUUUGCUAUAGCUCUAGCACAGGCUAUAAUAUAUGUCUCAUAAGGAGAAGCAAGAAACCACUCACUAUAUGUUAAUUGGUAGUACAGUAGAGUCUCACUUAUCCAACAUAAACGGGCCAGCAGAACAUUGGAUAAGCGAAUAUGUUGGAUAAUAAAGAGGGAUUAAGGAAAGGCUAGUAAACAUCAAAUUAAGUUAUGAUUUUACAAAUUAAGCACCCAAAUAUCAUGUUAUACAACAAAUUUGACAGAAAAGGUAGUUCAAUACGCAGUAAUGCUAUGUUGUAAUUAGUGUAUUUACGAAUUUAGCACCAAAAUAUCACGAUAUAUUGAAAACAUUGACUACAAAAAUGCGUUGGAUAAUCCAGAAUGUUGGAUAAGCGAGUGUUGGAUAAGUGAGACUCUACUGUAUAACUUAGAGUCUUUCCUGUUCUUUCUGCUUGGACUUCUCUAUCCAAUAGCUAAUUUUAAAAGCAUUUGAAUUCUCUCCCCUUAAAUCUGAAAUAUUCAUCAGAGAAAGGGAGUAAAUCAGCAAAUAACACCUUGCAUGCUUUUGGUAAGGAAUACAAUUAUUCAAUAGAAAGGAAAGAUUUACCCUUUCCUGUUCCACAACAAGGUGGAUGAAAUGUCACAAGCCACUUAUUCUGGGCUUGCAAAACCUUAGCUUUCAUCAUCAUUGAAAUAGUAUGAAUCUAUUUGUCUUGAUUGCUUUGGUGAUAGCCUAUUCAGACUGAGGGGUGUCUAAACUUGUUUCCACUUUGCUCAGCAUGCUGUAGUGCAGAAGAAGCUGUGCAUUGCAAUCUUCAUUGUUGUUUGAUUUUGUUGGUUUCAAUUGUAGAAAUCAGUGCAAAUGGAAGGUGUGGUUGAGAGACACCCAGACUGUGCUUUUUCUUUGACUUUAGCUAUCCAGAAUCUAAAAAUCCCACAU
Long non-coding RNA from Anolis carolinensis (green anole), 4280 nucleotides. The record is from Ensembl. Lineage: Eukaryota; Metazoa; Chordata; Lepidosauria; Squamata; Anolidae.